GCCCGUACCCUGACUUUGCUGAUGGGGUGUCGGAAGCAUUUGUUGUCGCCAGUCUCGCUGAGCGUUAUGGCGUAGAACUGUCCCUUGUUGAGAGACAAAACACAGCAGAUGGCAAAAGAGAUGAGGCCAGACCAAAGGUCACUGCUAACACAAUGUGUCCUGACUGGAAAAGCACAGAAUGGGCAUUGCCAGGAAAGGGAAACCAGCAAUAUUAGAAGAUUUCAUGGAGACUGUGAACUUUGCUCUGACCCUUGAAAGCCAAAGAGAACCUUUUACUGAAGAAAUUAAAAGAAAGUAAUGGGGUGAGAGAGGACCACCAUGAUUCAAGACAAAAUGAUAGGUACAAAUGUGGUACAUAGAUGGAGUCAAGGAUAUAGGCCUUCCCUGGUUAUGAAGGAAGGACCUGAAAGUCUACAGUAGCCACUAGCCAAACGUGCUGAAGUUGAUUAGAAUUAAAUAAAGUUAAACAUUCAGUUCCUCAGUCAACCAGCCACCUUUCAAAUAUUACACUGACACAUGAAAGUAGUGGCUAUCAUCUGGGACAGCAUAAAAGACAAUUUCCUUCAUUGCAGAAAGUUCUAUUGGACAGGACGAAUUUAUGAAAAGGUAUUUAUAUUUAGUUUAGUUAAGAAUUAGGAAAAUUUGGAGUAUGAGGAUAGCAUGAUGAAAAAGAUAUUUAAGGAAGCAUUUUAGAGAUAGAGGGGAUGUAUUUCCAAAGUCUUUGAAGGAAUAUGUAAUAACCUGCAACAACACAGGGUGAACCAGAAUUAAUAAACACGGCCUUGAAUAAA
This is a long non-coding RNA of Myotis brandtii (Brandt's bat), 791 nucleotides long. RefSeq lists it as uncharacterized. The transcript is spliced from 4 exons. NCBI's taxonomy places the organism in Eukaryota, Metazoa, Chordata, Mammalia, Chiroptera, Vespertilionidae. The record is from RefSeq and is a predicted model, not a curated record.